This 974-nucleotide ribosomal RNA is filed under the name uncultured bacterium. RNAcentral's name for it is "bacterial SSU rRNA". It matches the Rfam family "Bacterial small subunit ribosomal RNA", at positions 111 to 1061 of the family's 1533-position model. The record is from RNAcentral.
UAACACGUGGACAACAUUCCGGGAAGCGGGGGAUAGCCCAGGGAAACUUGGAUUAAUACCGCAUGUGGUUUAGCUCGGCAUCGAGCGACGACUAAAGGUGGGGACCGCAAGGCCUGCCACUUCCCGAUUGGUCCGCGGCCUAUCAGCUUGUUGGUGAGGUAACGGCUCACCAAGGCGACGACGGGUAGCUGGUCUGAGAGGACGACCAGCCACACUGGAACUGAGACACGGUCCAGACACCUACGGGUGGCAGCAGUCGAGAAUCAUUCACAAUGGGGGAAACCCUGAUGGUGCGACGCCGCGUGGAGGAUAAGGUCUUCGGAUUGUAAACUCCUGUCAUGCGAGAGCAAGGUUUGAGGGUUAAUAACCCUUGGAUUUGAUAGUAUCGCAAGAGGAAGAGACGGCUAACUCUGUGCCAGCAGCCGCGGUAAUACAGAGGACUCAAGCGUUGUUCGGAAUCACUGGGCGUAAAGGGUGCGUAGGCGGCGUGGUAAGUCAGAUGUGAAAGGCAGGGGCUCAACCCCUGGAUUGCAUCCGAUACUGCCAUGCUAGAGUACUGGAGAGGUGUCUAGAAUUCUCGGUGUAGCAGUGAAAUGCGUAGAUAUCGAGAGGAAUACCAAUGGCGAAGGCAGGACACUGGACAGUAACUGACGCUGAGGCACGAAGGCUAGGGUAGCGAACGGGAUUAGAUACCCCGGUAGUCCUAGCAGUAAACGGUGCACGUUUGGUGUGGGGGGAAUCGACCCCUUCCGCGCCGGAGCUAACGCGUUAAGCGUGCCGCCUGGGAAGUACGAUCGCAAGAUUAAAACUCAAAGAAAUUGACGGGGACCCGCACAAGCGGUGGAGUAUGUGGCUUAAUUCGAUGCAACGCGAAGAACCUUACCUGGUCUUGACAUGCAUCCUGUCGUCGGUGAAAGCCGGCUAGUGUAGCAAUACACGGGUUUGCACAGGUGCUGCAUGGCUGUCGUCAGCUC